Molecule: non-coding RNA, 99 nt
Organism: Acanthosepion pharaonis
Lineage: Eukaryota; Metazoa; Mollusca; Cephalopoda; Sepiida; Sepiidae
Source: the annotation of a GenBank genome assembly
AUUGAAACACCGGUUCCAGUACUAUCACUGAAGUUAAGAAACGUAGAGCCUGGCCAGUAUCUAGAUGAGUGACCGCUUGGGAAUACCAGGUACUGUAAG